UCGGCCGGGCGAAUAGUCCGGUCGGAUGACGGUACCCGCAGAAGUAGCACCGGCUAACUACGUGCCAGCAGCCGCGGUAAUACGUAGGGUGCGAGCGUUAAUCGGAAUUACUGGGCGUAAAGGGUGCGCAGGCGGUUCUGUAAGACCGGUGUGAAAUCCCCGGGCUCAACCUGGGAAUUCCGCUGGUGACUGCAGGGCUAGAGUACGGUAGAGGGGGGUGGAAUUCCUGAUGUAGCAGUGAAAUGCGUAGAGAUCAGGAGGAACACCGUUGGCGAAGGCAGCCCCCUGGGCCUGUACUGACGCUCAUGCACGAAAGCGUGGGGAGCAAACAGGAUUAGAUACCCUGGAAGUCCACGCUCUAAACGAUGAGAACUAGCCGUCUGGAGUCUUCGUGCUCUGGGUGGCGCAGCUAACGCGUGAAGUUCUCCGCCUGGGGAGUACGGCCGCAAGGUUAAAACUCAAAGGAAUUGACCGGGACCCGCACAAGCGGCGGAUGAUGUGGAUUAAUUCGAUGCAACGCGA
Molecule: ribosomal RNA, 522 nt
Filed under: uncultured beta proteobacterium
Lineage: Bacteria; Pseudomonadati; Pseudomonadota; Betaproteobacteria
Description: bacterial SSU rRNA
Rfam family: Bacterial small subunit ribosomal RNA
Source: RNAcentral